GUGCUUGCUUCAGCAGCACAUACACUAAGAUUGGGACGAUAUAGACAAGAUUAGCAUGACUCCUGCACAAGGAUGACUCACAAAUUCAUGAAGCGUUCCAUAUAAAA
Ochotona curzoniae (black-lipped pika) is the source of this 107-nucleotide small nuclear RNA. The record is from RefSeq and is a predicted model, not a curated record. Lineage: Eukaryota; Metazoa; Chordata; Mammalia; Lagomorpha; Ochotonidae.